RNAcentral lists this transfer RNA (51 nucleotides) under Parachtes riberai. RNAcentral describes it as "tRNA-Thr". Lineage: Eukaryota; Metazoa; Arthropoda; Arachnida; Araneae; Dysderidae. The record is from RNAcentral.
AAAUGUGUAGUUUAAGUAAAACAGAAACUUUGUAAGUUUAUUUUAUAUAAG